UACAGGAGGGGGCAAGCGUUUGUUCGGAAUUACUGGGCGUAAAGGGCGCGUAGGCGGCCUGCUAAGUCGAACGUGAAAUCCCUGGGCUCAACCCAGGAACUGCGUCCGAUACUGGUUGGCUUGAAUCCGGGAGAGGGAUGUGGAAUUCCAGGUGUAGCGGUGAAAUGCGUAGAUAUCUGGAGGAACACCGGUGGCGAAGGCGACAUCCUGGACCGGUAUUGACGCUGAGGCGCGAAAGCCAGGGGAGCAAACGGG
Molecule: ribosomal RNA, 255 nt
Filed under: uncultured bacterium
Lineage: Bacteria
Description: partial 16S ribosomal RNA
Rfam family: Bacterial small subunit ribosomal RNA
Source: RNAcentral